GACAGAGGGUGCAAACGUUGCUCGGAAUCACUGGGCGUAAAGGGCGUGUAGGCGGGAAGGAAAGUCAGAUGUGAAAUCCCCAGGCUCAACCUGGGAACUGCAUUUGAAACUCCCUUUCUUGAGUACCGGAGAGGAAAGUGGGAUUCCUGGUGUAGAGGUGAAAUGCGCAGAUAUCAGGAGGAACACCAAUGGCGAAGGCAGCACUCUGGGACGUGACUGACGCUGAGACGCGAAAGCGUGGGGAGCAAACAGG
This 253-nucleotide ribosomal RNA is filed under the name uncultured bacterium. Its description in RNAcentral is "partial 16S ribosomal RNA". It matches the Rfam family "Bacterial small subunit ribosomal RNA", at positions 524 to 776 of the family's 1533-position model. The record is from RNAcentral.